AAACGGAGAGAUCUGAGAUUCUGUGGCAUUGAUUCCACUUCUUUUAAGCCGAUGAUUCUCCUUGGGACCUCAAUUAUCUUUGCUGCCAUCCUGGUUCCCAGGACUAUCCAAGCCAGGGGUCCCCAACUCUGGGACAGUGGCCUACUACUGGGCUGUGGCCUGUUUGGAACCAGGCCAGGGAAGUGGCAGGCGAGCACAGGCAUGCGCACAGCUCCACUUGUGCAAGCAGCAGAUAUUUGGUUCCAGGCCAAGAUCAUCGGCAAAAGAUGCCUAAAGAACCCAGCUUGCUUUUCUUCCCUAUUGGAAAACUGUCCUUCCUAAAAGGAACUCAGUUAAGAGCCAGGAUAACAUGUAUGGCUUCAAACAAUGAGUACUAUAUGAUUAAACAAAAGCUAUGAAAUGAAUGCAGGAUAUUCCUAAUCUACAGAAGAAAUAAUCUACUGUGCUAUGUUUAAUUCUGACUAGCUAUUCAUUAUUGUUGUCAACUUGAAUAAUUCUUGUUUCUCCAUUCUGAAUUUAACAAACUUCCAUGAUCAGUCACCUGCUCAUACAAAAACAUUAAAGAUUAUACUAUCUCAUGAAAAACAGGAAUAUGGCAGAUAAACUGGAAUCUUCUGCUAUGUUUAAUUCUUCACAAGCAGCAUAUUUGCACCCUCACUAUAGUAGAACAAACAGCUGCAAAAUCAGAGAAAAUCUUAAUGCAGCAACAGAAAUAAAUGUACUACAGGUAGUCCCCAAAGUACAACCGUAAAGGAGCCUGCCCAUUAGUAAUGGUUGUAAAAGAAUUUGAUCAUGUCACCGUGGGAUGCAACAAACAGCCGUAAAUAUAGCUGUGUAACCGAGUGCCCAAAGUCUGGUUACAUGACUGUGUGGUGGUGGGCCUGACCGAGGGAACUAUAUGGAUCUGUAUGGUAAGUACAGCAACAAAGAUGAU
Molecule: non-coding RNA, 934 nt
Organism: Pseudonaja textilis
Lineage: Eukaryota; Metazoa; Chordata; Lepidosauria; Squamata; Elapidae
Source: RefSeq, a predicted model, not a curated record